GAUGAACGCUGACAGAAUGCUUAACACAUGCAAGUCGAUUCGAUUUACCUUCGGGUAUUGAGGAUGGCGGACGGGUGAGUAACGCGUAAGGAACUUGCCUCUUGGUCUGGGACAACUGUUGGAAACGACAGCUAAUACCGGAUAUUAUGAGAUUCUCGCAUGAGAAACUUAUGAAAGCUAUAUGCGCCAAGAGAGAGCCUUGCGUUCCAUUAGCUAGUUGGUGGGGUAACGGCCCACCAAGGCGACGAUGGAUAGCCGGCCUGAGAGGGUGAACGGCCACAAGGGGACUGAGACACGGCCCUUACUCCUACGGGAGGCAGCAGUGGGGAAUAUUGGACAAUGGGCCACAAGCCUGAUCCAGCAAUUCUGUGUGCACGAUGAAGGUCUUCGGAUUGUAAAGUGCUUUCAGUUGGGAAGAAGAAAGUGACGGUACCAACAGAAGAAGCGACGGCUAAAUACGUGCCAGCAGCCGCGGUAAUACGUAUGUCGCAAGCGUUAUCCGGAUUUAUUGGGCGUAAAGCGCGUCUAGGCGGAAAAAUAAGUCUGAUGUUAAAAUGCGGGGCUCAACUCCGUAUUGCGUUGGAAACUGUUUUUCUAGAGUACUGGAGAGGUGGGCGGAACUACAAGUGUAGAGGUGAAAUUCGUAGAUAUUUGUAGGAAUGCCGAUGGAGAAGUCAGCUCACUGGNCAGA
This 691-nucleotide ribosomal RNA is filed under the name uncultured prokaryote. RNAcentral's name for it is "bacterial SSU rRNA". It matches the Rfam family "Bacterial small subunit ribosomal RNA", at positions 28 to 737 of the family's 1533-position model. The record is from RNAcentral.